Molecule: ribosomal RNA, 279 nt
Filed under: Phocaeicola plebeius DSM 17135
Lineage: Bacteria; Pseudomonadati; Bacteroidota; Bacteroidia; Bacteroidales; Bacteroidaceae
Description: partial 16S ribosomal RNA
Rfam family: Bacterial small subunit ribosomal RNA
Source: RNAcentral
UAUGGUAAUGCCAGCCGCCGCGGUAAUACGGAGGAUGCGAGCGUUAUCCGGAUUUAUUGGGUUUAAAGGGAGCGCAGACGGGUCGUUAAGUCAGCUGUGAAAGUUUGGGGCUCAACCUUAAAAUUGCAGUUGAUACUGGCGUCCUUGAGUGCGGUUGAGGUGUGCGGAAUUCGUGGUGUAGCGGUGAAAUGCUUAGAUAUCACGAAGAACUCCGAUUGCGAAGGCAGCACACUAAUCCGUAACUGACGUUCAUGCUCGAAAGUGUGGGUAUCAAACAGG